RNAcentral lists this unclassified non-coding RNA (229 nucleotides) under plant metagenome. Its description in RNAcentral is "partial contains small subunit ribosomal RNA, internal transcribed spacer 1, and 5.8S ribosomal RNA". The record is from RNAcentral.
UCUCCGUAGGUGAACCUGCGGAGGGAUCAUUACAGAGUUCAUGCCCUACCGGGUAGAUCUCCCACCCUAUGUUAUUAUUACUUUGUUGCUUUGGCGGGCCGUUAGGCUCCGGCCCGACUACCGGCCCCGGCUGGUAAGCGCCCGCCAGAGGACCCAAAACCCUGAAUAUUAGUGUCGUCUGAGAACUAUAUAAUAGUUAAAACUUUCAACAACGGAUCUCUUGGUUCUG